GAUUCAGAAUUACCCUAAAUUUCAAAAAGGUUAUACCCAGUGGAUAAUCAGUGGAAAGGGUUACUUCCAAUUCAAUUUAAAUUGAUACCCCAUAUGGUGAAAUUUGGUCCGAUACUAUUUUAAGCAUUGUUAAAUUGCCUUUUUGAAGACACGAUAAGAUGUAUGUCCAUAUUGUGAUUCUUUGAUUAAUACACCCCUGAUGAAGUCUGUAGGAUGAAACGCGUUGGGUUAGCACAUUGUUCUCUGACAUCUCUACAAAGAAGAUCAUUUUGAUGUUGUUUGAAUUACCAACACAACUAUCGUCUGUACAAACAUUGUUUAUUGUUAUUCUGGGCAAAUUGUAAACAGUUUUAUGUAUUGCUUUUAAAAAAAAUAAACAAUCUCUCUUUUUUAA
Long non-coding RNA from Pseudophryne corroboree (corroboree frog), 394 nucleotides. RefSeq lists it as uncharacterized. The record is from RefSeq and is a predicted model, not a curated record. NCBI's taxonomy places the organism in Eukaryota, Metazoa, Chordata, Amphibia, Anura, Myobatrachidae. The transcript has 3 exons.